Molecule: ribosomal RNA, 425 nt
Filed under: Verrucomicrobiota bacterium
Lineage: Bacteria; Pseudomonadati; Verrucomicrobiota
Description: Verrucomicrobia bacterium partial 16S ribosomal RNA
Rfam family: Bacterial small subunit ribosomal RNA
Source: RNAcentral
UGAGGAAUAUUGGUCAAUGGGCGAGAGCCUGAACCAGCCACGUCGCGUGAAGGAAGACUGACCUUACGGUUUGUAAACUUCUUUUGUAGAGGGGUAAUGGCAGAUACGUGUAUUUGCGUGAAAGUACUCUACGAAUAAGCAUCGGCUAACUCCGUGCCAGCAGCCGCGGUAAUACGGGGGAUGCGAGCGUUAUCCGGAAUUAUUGGGUUUAAAGGGUGCGCAGGUGGCUAAUCAGGUCAGUGGUGAAAAGCUAUGGCUCAACCAUGGUCUUGCCAUUGAAACCGUAUAGCUAGAGAGGAGACGAGGUAGGCGGAAUGUGUGGUGUAGCGGUGAAAUGCAUAGAUAUCACACAGAACUCCGAUUGCGAAGGCAACUUACCAGGCUUUAUCUGACACUUAGGCACGACAGCGUGGGGAUCAAACAGG